Molecule: ribosomal RNA, 254 nt
Filed under: uncultured bacterium
Lineage: Bacteria
Description: partial 16S ribosomal RNA
Rfam family: Bacterial small subunit ribosomal RNA
Source: RNAcentral
UACGUAGGGUGCGAGCGUUGUCCGGAAUUAUUGGGCGUAAAGAGCUUGUAGGUGGUUUGUCGCGUCUGCUGUGAAAAUCCGAGGCUCAACCUCGGACUUGCAGUGGGUACGGGCAGACUAGAGUGUGGUAGGGGAGACUGGAAUUCCUGGUGGUAGCGGUGGAAUGCGCAGAUAUCAGGAGGAACACCGAUGGCGAAGGCAGGUCUCUGGGCCAUUACUGACACUGAGAAGCGAAAGCAUGGGGAGCGAACAGG